GCCAAGCCGCGUGAGGGAAGACGGCCCUAUGGGUUGUAAACCUUCUUUUGUCGGAGAACAAAACCCGGGACGUGUCCCGGACUGCGUGUAUCCGAAGAAAAAGCAUCGGCUAACUCCGUGCC
Molecule: ribosomal RNA, 122 nt
Filed under: uncultured bacterium
Lineage: Bacteria
Description: partial 16S ribosomal RNA
Rfam family: Bacterial small subunit ribosomal RNA
Source: RNAcentral